This 494-nucleotide ribosomal RNA is filed under the name uncultured bacterium. RNAcentral's name for it is "partial 16S ribosomal RNA". It matches the Rfam family "Bacterial small subunit ribosomal RNA", at positions 28 to 507 of the family's 1533-position model. The record is from RNAcentral.
GACGAACGCUGGCGGCGUGCUUAACACAUGCAAGUCGAACGGAAAGGCCUGCUUUCCCUUGUGGGUUGCGGGUACUCGAGUGGCGAACGGGCGAGUAACACGUGAGUGAUCUGCCCCCAACUCGGGUAUAAGCCUGGGAAACUGGGUCUAAUUCCCGACAGGACUGCAGGGUGGUGCCUGUGGUGGCAAACGAUUUUCUAGUGGUCGGGGAUGAGCUCGCGGCCUAUCAGCUUGUUGGUGGGGUAAUGGCCUACCAAGGCGGCGACGGGUAGCCGGCCUGGGAGGGUGGACGGCCGCAUUGGGACUGAGAUACGGCCCCGACUCCUACGGGAGGCAGCAGUGGGGAGUAUUACGCGAUGGGCGGAAGCCUGAUGCAGCGACGCCGCGUGGGGGAUGCCGGCCUUCGGGUUGUAACCUCCUUUCGACCGCGAGGAAGCCACCUGGUUGGAAGGGUGGUGACGGUAGUGGUAGAAGAAGCACCGGCUAACUACGUG